RNAcentral lists this ribosomal RNA (229 nucleotides) under uncultured bacterium. Its description in RNAcentral is "partial 16S ribosomal RNA". It matches the Rfam family "Bacterial small subunit ribosomal RNA", at positions 568 to 796 of the family's 1533-position model. The record is from RNAcentral.
UCCGUGGGCGGGCAAUUAAGUCAGAGGUGAAAUCCCACAGCUCAACUGUGGAACUGCCUUUGAUACUGGUUGUCUUGAGUUACAGUGAAGUAGAUAGAAUAUGUAGUGUAGCGGUGAAAUGCAUAGAUAUUACAUAGAAUACCGAUUGCGGAGGCAGUCUACUAACUGUAUACUGACGCUAAUGGACGAAAGCGUGGGGAGCGAACAGGAUUAGAUACCCUGGUAGUCC